GACUUUAACUCAAUGGCAGAGCACAUGCAUAGUAUGCAAAAGGUCUCAGGUUCAAUCCCUGGCAUCUCCA
Molecule: non-coding RNA, 70 nt
Organism: Podarcis lilfordi (Lilford's wall lizard)
Lineage: Eukaryota; Metazoa; Chordata; Lepidosauria; Squamata; Lacertidae
Source: the annotation of a GenBank genome assembly